GUUGGAGAUUUCAACGAAAUUCUAUACUCGCAUGAAAAGGAAGGAGGGGCUCCUAGGCCCGUUGGUAUGAUGCAGAAUUUCAGAGAUGCACUUGUGGAUUGCGGACUAGAGGACAUGGGUUUCACGGGGCAGUUUUCAUGGAGAAGACGGCGGCUUCAGGAACGCCUUGACAAGGCAGUUUGUAAUGGAUUGUUCCCUGGGAUGUUCCCUGACGCUCUUGUAACUAAUGCCCCUCAUAUUAAAUCUGAUCAUCGUCCGAUCGUCUUGGACUUAGAUGGCGAUGUUGGCGUGGGGUAG
This 297-nucleotide ribosomal RNA is filed under the name Triticum aestivum (bread wheat). Its description in RNAcentral is "partial small subunit ribosomal RNA". Lineage: Eukaryota; Viridiplantae; Streptophyta; Magnoliopsida; Poales; Poaceae. The record is from RNAcentral.